AUUGAACGCUGGCGGCAGGCCUAACACAUGCAAGUCGAGCGGCAGCGGAAGGAAGCUUGCUUUCUUGCCGGCGAGCGGCGGACGGGUGAGUAAGGUAUGGGGAUCUGGCCAAAGGCGGGGGAUAACCACUGGAAACGGUGGCUAAUACCGCAUAAUCUCUAAGGAGCAAAGUGGGGGACCGUUCAGGCCUCACACCUUCGGAUGAACCCAUAUGAGAUUAGCUAGUAGGUGGGGUAAUGGCUCACCUAGGCGACGAUCUCUAGCUGGACUGAGAGGAUGAUCAGCCACACUGGGACGGAGACACGGCCCAGACUCCUACGGGAGGCAGCAGUGGGGAAUAUUGGACAAUGGGCGCAAGCCUGAUGCAGCCAUGCCGCGUGUAUGAAGAAGGCCUUCGGGUUGUAAAGUACUUUCAGUCGUGAGGAAGGUGUUAAGGUUAAUAACCUUAGCAAUUGACGUUAGCGACAGAAGAAGCACCGGCUAACUCCGUGCCAGCCGCCGCGGUAA
This 507-nucleotide ribosomal RNA is filed under the name uncultured bacterium. RNAcentral's name for it is "partial 16S ribosomal RNA". It matches the Rfam family "Bacterial small subunit ribosomal RNA", at positions 30 to 523 of the family's 1533-position model. The record is from RNAcentral.